Molecule: ribosomal RNA, 464 nt
Filed under: uncultured bacterium
Lineage: Bacteria
Description: partial 16S ribosomal RNA
Rfam family: Bacterial small subunit ribosomal RNA
Source: RNAcentral
ACGAACGCUGGCGGCGUGCUUAACACAUGCAAGUCGAACGGAAAGGCCCUGCUUGCAGGGUACUCGAGUGGCGAACGGGUGAGUAACACGUGGGUGAUCUGCCCUGCACUUCGGGAUAAGCCUGGGAAACUGGGUCUAAUACCGGAUAGGAGCCAUUUUUAGUGUGAUGGUUGGAAAGUUUUUUCGUUGUAGGAUGAGCUCGCGGCCUAUCAGCUUGUUGGUGGGGUAAUGGCCUACCAAGGCGGCGACGGGUAGCCGGCCUGAGAGGGUGGACGGCCACAUUGGGACUGAGAUACGGCCCAGACUCCUACGGGAGGCAGCAGUGGGGAAUAUUGCACAAGGGGCGCAAGCCUGAUGCAGCGACGCCGCGUGGGGGAUGACGGCCUUCGGGUUGUAAACUCCUUUCGCUAGGGACGAAGCUUUUUGUGACGGUACCUAGAUAAGAAGCACCGGCUAACUACGUG